CCGACCACAACAUUAGAAGGAAUUUUUUUUUCCGGUGAGCAUUUUUGGUGAACUAAAAUACCAAACUCCUUCCUCCCUCACUCCUGAACUUGGUGGUGAAACAUCCUCCAAGGGGAAGGAACUCACUGAUCAGUGAGCGCGUAUCGAGACGAGACGAAUAGUUCUACUGCGACGUUGGACUGGGUUGUGCUGUGCAGGCAAUAGAGUAAUUUGUCUGUUUUCCUUGUCUAGGUUUAUUAUAGUGUGUAUGUAAAUUUUAUGGAUCCACUAGACUUGACCAUUAUGUAUUGUUCUUAUAUUUGUACCUCUUGGAUAGUAACUGAAAACCCCAUUUGUAUUAUUUGUGAUGUUCUCUUGUAUUUAGGGUCCAUG
Long non-coding RNA from Dioscorea cayenensis subsp. rotundata (Guinea yam), 372 nucleotides. RefSeq lists it as uncharacterized. The record is from RefSeq and is a predicted model, not a curated record. The transcript is spliced from 3 exons. Lineage: Eukaryota; Viridiplantae; Streptophyta; Magnoliopsida; Dioscoreales; Dioscoreaceae.